AGAAUCAACGCUGGCGGCGUGCCUAACACAUGCAAGUCGAACGAGAAAGUGGAGCAAUCCAUGAGUAAAGUGGCGACCGGGUGAGUAACACGUGACUAACCUACCUUCGAGUGGGGGAUAACAUCGGGAAACCGAUGCUAAUACCGCAUAACAUCGCAAGAUCAAAGCAGCAAUGCGCUGGAAGAGGGGGUCGCGGCUGAUUAGCUAGUUGGCGGGGUAACGGCCCACCAAGGCGAAGAUCGGUAGCCGGCCUGAGAGGGCGCACGGCCACACUGGAACUGAAACACGGUCCAGACUCCUACGGGAGGCAGCAGUGGGGAAUUUUGCGCAAUGGGGGAAACCCUGACGCAGCAACGCCGCGUGGAGGAUGAAGCCCCUUGGGUGUAAACUCCUUUCGACCAAGACGAUAAUGACGGUACUGGUGGAAGAAGCACCGGCUAACUCUGCGCCAGCAGCCGC
RNAcentral lists this ribosomal RNA (459 nucleotides) under uncultured bacterium. Its description in RNAcentral is "SSU rRNA". It matches the Rfam family "Bacterial small subunit ribosomal RNA", at positions 26 to 518 of the family's 1533-position model. The record is from RNAcentral.